Toxotes jaculatrix (banded archerfish) is the source of this 141-nucleotide small nucleolar RNA. RefSeq annotates it as small nucleolar RNA SNORA15. The record is from RefSeq and is a predicted model, not a curated record. The transcript has a single exon. Lineage: Eukaryota; Metazoa; Chordata; Actinopteri; Toxotidae.
GCAUGGCUGAAUUCUGUAUUACUCCUGAAAUAGUAACUGCAGUCAGACACCAUGCUAAAGUAUCAUUUUCACACACUGACUAAACAACACGAGAUGAGUUCUUUUUAUGCGGCUCAUUCUUAUGUCAGAGUGAAUACAGCA